GAUGAAGAACGUAGUGAAAUGCGAUACUUGGUGUGAAUUGCAGAAUCCCGUGAACCAUCGAGUCUUUGAACGCAAGUUGCGCCCGAAGCCAUUAGGCCGAGGGCACGCCUGCCUGAGCGUCACACGUCGUUGCCCCCCCAUCUACUCCUUCGGGAUUGCGGGGGGCGGAUGAUGGCCUCCCGUGCGCCUUGUCGCGCGGUUGGCAUAAAUGCCAAGUCCUCGGCGACGCACGCCACGACAAUCGGUGGUUGCGAAACCUCGGUUGCCCGUCGUGUGCGGUCGUCGCGCAUCGAGGGCUCGAAAAAAUUGUCGGGCUCCGGCUCGGCUUUCAACGCGACCCCAGGUCAGGCGGGGUUACCCGCUGAAUUUAAGCAUAUCAAUAAGCGGAGGA
This 391-nucleotide unclassified non-coding RNA is filed under the name soil metagenome. Its description in RNAcentral is "partial contains 5.8S ribosomal RNA, internal transcribed spacer 2, and large subunit ribosomal RNA". The stretch from base 1 to 122 matches the Rfam family "5.8S ribosomal RNA", at positions 35 to 154 of the family's 154-position model. The record is from RNAcentral.